RNAcentral lists this long non-coding RNA (569 nucleotides) under Anolis carolinensis (green anole). Its description in RNAcentral is "lncRNA (ENSACAG00000033619.2)". The record is from RNAcentral. Lineage: Eukaryota; Metazoa; Chordata; Lepidosauria; Squamata; Anolidae.
CUGCUCCUCAACCUUUUAAUGUCAGACUGACCAAGAGAAGAACACAGGAUCUGACAGAAGGAGACAAAAGAAGCAAAGGUGGCGAGGCUGGUGAUGGAGAAACCCGUGAAAAUACCCUGAAGGAAUGAAGUGCAGUGUGGAAGACGGUGACUCAUAUCUCUGCAGUGAUCCUUCAGUAAAAGGUGAAUGCUUUUUAGAAGGACAUUUUAAUACCUAAUGGGUAGUUGAAGACAAUGCUAUGUUUCCAUAUUUGGAUGCUAUUUCUGGUGAAGGAGGAGUGUAAUACAGACAUACUUCAAUUAUCAAAGUCUCUGAGAAAGGGCCCCCAGGAGGAGGAAGGGCUGCUAACCAGCGUCUCAGAGCAUGUGCAAGUGACAGAGGAUAUGGGAGCCUGUGGCAUUCGGAGUUGCCCACCACCUGCUGGGAUCCACUUACAAAGCUGCAAACACAUGGGAAGACUGCCGCUCUUGCUGACACAUCGCAGGAGGACCAAGCGGAGACUGUCGCUCCCAGUCAACUUGAGUUCUGCUAUAAUGAACAAAAAUUACAGUUCAAACAUGAACCUCUGA